AACGAACGCUGGCGGCAUGCCUAACACAUGCAAGUCGAACGAGACCUUCGGGUCUAGUGGCGCACGGGUGCGUAACGCGUGGGAACCUGCCUUUAGGUUCGGAAUAACUCAGAGAAAUUUGAGCUAAUACCGGAUAAUGUCUUCGGACCAAAGAUUUAUCGCCUUUAGAUGGGCCCGCGUAAGAUUAGCUAGUUGGUGGGGUAAAGGCCUACCAAGGCGACGAUCUUUAGCUGGUCUGAGAGGAUGAUCAGCCACACUGGGACUGAGACACGGCCCAGACUCCUACGGGAGGCAGCAGUGGGGAAUAUUGGACAAUGGGCGAAAGCCUGAUCCAGCAAUGCCGCGUGAGUGAUGAAGGCCUUAGGGUUGUAAAGCUCUUUUACCCGAGAUGAUAAUGACAGUAUCGGGAGAAUAAGCUCCGGCUAACUCCGUGCCAGCAGCCGCGGAAU
RNAcentral lists this ribosomal RNA (449 nucleotides) under uncultured bacterium. RNAcentral describes it as "bacterial SSU rRNA". It matches the Rfam family "Bacterial small subunit ribosomal RNA", at positions 29 to 523 of the family's 1533-position model. The record is from RNAcentral.